AGGGGUAUGGUGGAAUGGCAGACACGCUAGGCUUAGAAUCUAGUGGCAAUAGUCGUAGGAGUUCGAGUCUCCUUGCCCCUACCA
RNAcentral lists this transfer RNA (84 nucleotides) under Alkaliphilus sp. B6464. Its description in RNAcentral is "tRNA-Leu". It matches the Rfam family "tRNA". From Rfam's summary of the family: Transfer RNA (tRNA) molecules are approximately 80 nucleotides in length. Their secondary structure includes four short double-helical elements and three loops (D, anti-codon, and T loops). Lineage: Bacteria; Bacillati; Bacillota; Clostridia; Peptostreptococcales; Natronincolaceae. The record is from RNAcentral.